UGACAAAUGUUCAUUCUAGUGGCAUUGUGA
This 30-nucleotide non-coding RNA is filed under the name Mus musculus (house mouse). The record is from RNAcentral. Lineage: Eukaryota; Metazoa; Chordata; Mammalia; Rodentia; Muridae.